UACGUAGGGGGCAAGCGUUGUCCGGAAUCAUUGGGCGUAAAGAGCGUGUAGGCGGCCAGAUAAGUCCGCUGUGAAAUCUCGAGGCUCAACUUCGAGCUGUCGGUGGAAACUGUCUGGCUAGAGUCCGGAAGAGGAGAAUGGAAUUCCUGGUGUAGCGGUGAAAUGCGCAGAUAUCAGGAAGAACACCAGUGGCGAAGGCGGCUCACUGGCCCGGUACUGACGCUGAGGCGCGAAAGCGUGGGGAGCAAACAGG
This 253-nucleotide ribosomal RNA is filed under the name uncultured bacterium. Its description in RNAcentral is "partial 16S ribosomal RNA". It matches the Rfam family "Bacterial small subunit ribosomal RNA", at positions 524 to 776 of the family's 1533-position model. The record is from RNAcentral.